Molecule: ribosomal RNA, 253 nt
Filed under: uncultured bacterium
Lineage: Bacteria
Description: partial 16S ribosomal RNA
Rfam family: Bacterial small subunit ribosomal RNA
Source: RNAcentral
UACGUAGGUGGCAAGCGUUGUCCGGAAUUAUUGGGCGUAAAGGGCGCGUAGGCGGCCUGGCAAGUGGAAGGUGAAAUCCCUCGGCUUAACCGAGGAACUGCCCUCCAAACUGCUUGGCUUGAGUCCGGGAGAGGUGAGUGGAAUUCCCAGUGUAGCGGUGAAAUGCGUAGAUAUUGGGAGGAACACCAGUGGCGAAGGCGGCUCACUGGACCGGAACUGACGCUGAGGCGCGAAAGCGUGGGGAGCAAACGGG